GACGAACGCUGGCGGCGUGCUUAACACAUGCAAGUCGAACGGAAAGGCCUGCUUUCCCUUGUGGAUUGCGGGUACUCGAGUGGCGAACGGGUGAGUAACACGUGAGUGAUCUGCCCCCAACUUGGGUAUAAGCCUGGGAAACUGGGUCUAAUUCCCGAUAGGACUGCAGGGUGGUGCCUGUGGUGGAAAACGAUUUUCUAGUGGUUGGGGAUGAGCUCGCGGCCUAUCAGCUUGUUGGUGGGGUAAUGGCCUACCAAGGCGGCGACGGGUAGCCGGCCUGGGAGGGUGGACGGCCACAUUGGGACUGAGAUACGGCCCAGACUCCUACGGGAGGCAGCAGUGAGGAAUAUUGCACAAUGGGCGGAAGCCUGAUGCAGCGACGCCGCGUGGGGGAUGACGGCCUUCGGGUUGUAAACUCCUUUCGACCGCGAGGAAGCCACCUGGUUGGAAGGGUGGUGACGGUAGUGGUAGAAGAAGCACCGGCUAACUACGUG
Molecule: ribosomal RNA, 494 nt
Filed under: uncultured bacterium
Lineage: Bacteria
Description: partial 16S ribosomal RNA
Rfam family: Bacterial small subunit ribosomal RNA
Source: RNAcentral